RNAcentral lists this ribosomal RNA (440 nucleotides) under uncultured bacterium. RNAcentral's name for it is "partial 16S ribosomal RNA". It matches the Rfam family "Bacterial small subunit ribosomal RNA", at positions 338 to 795 of the family's 1533-position model. The record is from RNAcentral.
CCUACGGGCGGCAGCAGUAGGGAAUAUUGCUCAAUGGGGGAAACCCUGAAGCAGCAACGCCGCGUGAAGGAUGAAGGUUUUCGGAUUGUAAACUCCUUUUGUCAGAGAAGAUAAUGACGGUAUCUAACGAAUAAGCACCGGCUAACUCCGUGCCAGCAGCCGCGGUAAUACGGCGGGUGCAAGCGUUACUCGGAAUCAUUGGGCGUAAAGGGCGCGUAGGCGGGAUAGCAAGUCAGAUGUGAAAUCCCAUGGCUUAACCAUAGAACUGCAUUUGAAACUGUUAUUCUAGAGUAGAGGAGAGGUAGGUGGAAUUCUUGGUGUAUGGGUAAAAUGCGUAGAGAUCAAGAGGAAUACUCAUUGCGAAGGCGACCUGCUAGAACAUAACUGACGCUGAUGCGCGAAAGCGUGGGGAGCAAACAGGAUUAGAUACCCUGGUAGUC